Molecule: small RNA, 125 nt
Filed under: Citrobacter braakii
Lineage: Bacteria; Pseudomonadati; Pseudomonadota; Gammaproteobacteria; Enterobacterales; Enterobacteriaceae
Description: RtT sRNA
Rfam family: RtT RNA
About the family: This family represents a bacterial cis-regulatory element known as RtT RNA. The exact function of RtT is unknown although it is thought that it may be involved in changing the cellular response in relation to amino acid starvation.
Source: RNAcentral
UUGCUAUCUGCAAUUUAUAAGAUUCGAACCUGCAGCAGGUCGAGUCGAACGCAGUGAGACAACGGAGCCGUUUACGGCGACGGCCCGAAGGGCGAGCGGAGCGAGUCAUCCUGCACGACCCACCA